RNAcentral lists this long non-coding RNA (8168 nucleotides) under Coffea arabica (coffee). RNAcentral's name for it is "long non-coding RNA (CARA_LNC002383)". The record is from RNAcentral. Lineage: Eukaryota; Viridiplantae; Streptophyta; Magnoliopsida; Gentianales; Rubiaceae.
CAAAUACACCUCCAAAUCACUAACAAAUACCGCAACAUAUUGUCCAAACAGAAGGAUACAGAUAACUUCAAACUUGAAAAUGCUUUCCAAAGAUCAGACCAUGUCAUCUAGCUGCUUUCAAUCUUCUUGACUGAAAACAUCCUCCGACGCACAUCUUUUUUCUUUUCGCCCUUGCACCAGAACCCCACAGACUUAACAUCACAAGGAAAUGAGACCAGUAGGUUGCAUUGGCUGACCUCCAGGUGUCUGAUCUCAGGCAUCACUGCUUGCAAUUCUUCCCAUGACACCUCAAGCCUUUGGCAGAACUUUAAACACAACCCUUUGACAUCCCAUUUAUGUUCUUCAUCUCCCCAAAAAUCUUGGUUCAUCUUAUUUAUUCUAGAGUCCUCCAUACAAAGAUACUGCAGUUGUCGAAGUGACUUCGGAUUAAUCCAUCCUGGUGUAGUUUCUCCAACAUAAUGCUUCAGAUACAAUUCCUCAAUGGAAGAAGGGGGUGACAAUUUAUUCAAUUUGCUUAAAAUGUCCUCGUCUUCGCAAUCACCUGCAUUGAUCGACAAAAUCUUUAGUUUCUCUAGCUGUGCUAAGAUCUCCAAUUCCUGAUCAUUGAUUGUGCUUUCUUCAGUUAUGUCCAUCUGCAGGACUCGAAGUUCAGUCAAAGCCUUCAGCUCUCCAAGGUGGGAACCUGCAGCAUUGCCAGUGCCAGCUAUCUUAAAUCCGUAUAGCUCCUGGAGUUUGGAAAGUCUCGAAAAUCCUUGUGGUAGACACUGAAGAUUUGGGCAGUUGCCAACAUCCAAGAUAAUUAAUCUUGGAAGGUUAACAAUUGAUGGGGAAGAUUUUUGAGAUCCUUACAUUCUCCCAGAAUCAGAACUUGAAGGCCCCAUAGUUUACCGACUGAGUUUGGGAUUUCUGACAAUUGUGCAACAUACCUGAGGCUCAAAUAAGCUAGGCGUGUAAGGAAGUGAUCCAAUGCCAGAGAUCUUUCAUACAAAUGCUGUCUAGUUUGACAUGUGAGAAGUCCAGUACCCGGAGAGACUUGACGUUAGCCAAUUCAAUAUUACUAUUGAAACCGAUGUAAUCGGUUGCGGUUAAAAGUAAUGCCCUGAGCUUUGAGUUUCCUCGGAGGGUCUGGAACUUUGUCUCUUUUGUGACUCCAAGUCUACGAGAGCCAGCAUUAGCAAUAUGCUUUCCAUUUCCAUCGAAACUGCAGAAAUCUUCUUCUCUUGCUAUUUUAAUUGUCAAAUCUCGAACCAUGUCAUGCACCUUGCAGGUAUAGACACUCCCAUCGAAAUUUCUUCUCUCAGCUACUUCAACCAGGCAUCGACUGAUAAGCUCAGAUAAGCAGUUGAGAGCUGAUUCUGUCGCAGCUUCUGUGCUCCUACAACGGACAAAUCCUUCUCCUUCCCACCAGCGAAUCAGUUGGUCAACAUCAACUUCAUGAUCUUCUGGAUAAAUCGAGAAGCACAAUAUGCAUUGCUUUAAGCGAGGAGGGAGCUCAUCAUAGCUAAGCUGCAGAGAGGCAAUCACAUGCUGAUUACCACCAGCACGACUGCCUUCUGCACUUGUCAACUUUUCAUGGAAGUUCUUGUGAAUCCUCGUCCAUUCACUAUAACACUUGGCUUCUGAUGAGAGUAAACCACCAAUGGUCUUGAUUGCCAGGGGAAGGCCCCACACUUUUGAACAAUCUCUUUUCCUUCUUCAAUUAACUUAGUAUUUUCUUCAUCUUCUUUAGAGAUCAGUGCAACCUUGCAGAAUAAUUUCCAGCUCUCUUCAUCAUUAAGAAGUCUGGGUCGAUGAAUUUGGGCAUCCCGAACUCCCAUUUUCUUGACAACUUUCUUGAUCCUUGAUGUGAUUAUAAUGCAGUUGUUGAGGCCCUCUGUCUUGGGUAGCCCACUGGAGAUCGUUCCACCAACCAUCUUCAAUGCUCAGACAUCAUCUAGAACAAUCAGGUAGGUUUUUUUCUGAAAGCAAUUGACUGAUUCUACUCAGCAUGUCACCUUUAGAGAUCCGCUGUCAUCAGAUUUGAGUUGCCUCAGCAUGCUUUUCAUGAUUUCGGUCUCAUUGACUGGUUGAGAAACUGAGACCCAAAUUUUCUCUUGGAAGCGUUUCGUGAGAUUCACAUCUCUAUAGAUCAUCUUUGCUAGGGUCGUUUUACCCAAACCCCCAGCCCCACGAUUGCAAGGCGAAGCAAUGGUUCAUUAUGACCAAGAAUCCAGUCCCUUAUUGUUGCCACAUUUUCUGUUAGCCCAACGACUUCAGAUUGGUCAAAAACAGGGGAACUCCAAAGUGUCUUUCUGCCAUUUUUGCUCUCACUAUCUGAAUGCUUUGCAAUGGGAGUGUAAUAAGAGUUCAAAUUUUCCCGCAUUCUUUUAAUGUGGCUGUUGAUUUCUGUUAGCUUUUUCCCUGUUUUAUAGCGAAAGGCCAUCUCAGAAAGACAAAGGCUGAAAGAACUAGCCUUUGUUUCCGUGUAGUCUUCUCGAAUCUGGCAAUCAACAACCAGAUCAUCUGCUUCGUAGAUCAGUUUCUGAAGUUCUUGCAAGGUCAUCUUGACUGUUUCUUGCUUGUCUUUGAGCUUGCUUGCAUCAGCGACAAAUGAUUGCAUAAAUUUCAGCUGUUCUCUCAACUCAGAGAACUGAGCUGGAAAUUGAAUUGCAUAUUUGCUUUGAUCCUGGAUUUCUGUACUCAAAUCUUUCACAAGUUCUUGAGCAAUGGCACCAGCUAGUGCACUUGGCAACGUCAUGUCUGAGGAAUUCAUGAAGGCAAAUACUUGGAAAUAAGUUGAAUUAAAUUUACAAAAGGAUGCAGAAAAGUAGACAAGCAUUUACUAUGAUUUCUUAUAAUCUUGAACAAUAUCCAAGCCAACCUCAAUAAGUAGGCCUUAAUAAGGCCUUAUCUAUCCUUUGUUUGGUACUUUGCUGAGUUGUUUGUUUAGGGGAUAUUUAUUUUCAUCAGUACACUAAGUCAUGCAUGUUGGGAUUCGAAGUGUACAGAUUCUAUGCAUGCUAAAGAACGUAUUAUAAGCUUAUCUUGCUGAUUUGUCAAACACAAUUCAUUCAGAGCAUGUAGUAAAACAGAUCAAGGUUGAACUGAUGUGGUGAGAGUUAUCAACUUGAAGUCUUGGUGAAAGUUGUGAUGUAUUUGUCUAACAAUGGUUUCUAAAGUUAUGAAAAGCACUACCCUAAGCAUCUCCUGAUAUUUACUACUCGUGGCCUGGGUAUAGUCAUGAAGCCUCAAAGGUUAAAACUUUGGAUUUUCUGAUUUUUGGCUAUCUGGUUACUCAACUAGUUUUCCUUGGUUUUAUUCCCAAGGACAAAAAAAUCUUGCUGUUACAGGGAAGCUUGAAAAAUCUUGUUUACUUCAACAAACAUAUUCAAUAUUUGGACAUGGAAUCUGGAUGUUACCAGCUCUCUUCCGUUCAAAUAUUAUAAGUGUAUACAGGUCAAAAAUGAACACAAAACAGUGAGACACUAGAAAACUUGAGCAGAAGGACCAUUUAGUAAGACUGUUGGGUAAAUAAAAAGUUAUGAACACCAUCACAAAAAGGUGGCUCCAAUACACUUCCCCAUUACCCUAGAAUAUACAGUAUGUGUUCAUCUUUAGAUAUUCAUGUAUAGUUUCUGUCUGGUCUAGAAAUUUCAUAGAGGACAGUCUCGGCCAUCCCUUGCUUAACAAAAAUAAUUAAAUCUCAGAAAAUAAACCCAAUUGACUACUUUAGUUCAUGUUCUGUACCAUUGACUUCAUUUUAUGCUUCCGAAAUCAAAUUACAAUGUUGAGAAAUUAUACUAAAGAUGUUACCUGACUUUCAGUUGUUUUCCCACAGAAGAAAGGUAUAUAUCAGUUGACAGCAAUUCUGGCCUCAGAAGUGGAGACAGUUGGACAAUGUAUAUCUGUGGACACGCCGGAAGUUCAGUAAACGAAAUCUUCGCUUACGAUCAUGCUGGAAAGCUGCUACGCCCCUUUUUCCAUCAAAGAAGGUAGAUCAUCCGCAAAACACUAGAAGCAUAUUCCAGUCCAGGACCUGACAGUGAGAUGUAGAAAGGUAUCAUGUAGAAAGAACAAACAUCUGAUGAAAUAAUCACAAGGAGAAAGAACUGCAAGCAUAGCGCAAACUCACUUCAGAAAACACCAGUUGCUCUUGUGAGUAGUUCUUCAGUUGGUUAUCCAAAGGAUCACAAGUGCAGUGCUAUGCGAUGAUUGAAGAUGUUUAUUGGAUCAUUAGCUUUGAAAUCAAGCUAUCUGAGUGAUCUGGGCUCUUGUGUCAACAAAGCCUACAUACAGAGGGCACUGAGACUAAACCUGUAUGGAAUUAGUCUAAAAACGUUACCUGACUCUGUUUUUCCCACAGAAGUAAGAAUAUUUUGCCUAAUAAGAGUAAGCAGGGACGCUUGGACAACGAUGUCUUGGUGGAUACCGAAAUUCAGUAAGUGAAAUCGUCACUUAUGAUCAUGCUGGAAAGCUGCUAUACCCUUCCCUUCCCUCAAAGAAGGUACAUCAUAUGCAAAACAGUAGCAACAUAUUCCAGUCCAGGACCUGACACUAAGUUACAGAAAGGGAUCAUGUAGAAAGAACAAACAUCUGAUGAAAUAAGCACGAGGAGCAAGAACUGCAAGCGUAGCACAAAUUCUACCUCAGAAAAGAUCAGUAGCUCCUCCGAGUAGUUCCUCAGGUGUUUAUCCGAAGGACCACGAUGCAGUGCUGUGCAAUGAUUGAAGAUGUUUAUGGGAUCAUUAGCUUUGAAUUUAAGCUAUCUGAGUGACAUGAGCUGUUUUGCCAACUGAGCCGGUACUGAGGGCUUUGAAACUAAACCUGGAUGAAGGUUGUUGUAACCUUUAUAAUGCUGAAGUCUUAGUGGGAAGAUUCUGUUGGCAAUGUGGUAAAUUAACAGACAUUGAUAUGUUGUUUGAGCAGCCAUUAAUUUUUUAAUCAGUGACAUGAUACUUCACGUGGAAGGAGUCAAGCGGAUCAAUCCCUUGCUCCAAAUUUCUUUUCUCUGCGAGAUGCUUUUCUUCCAUCAAGAAUAAAGCAUGUCUUCCACUAUCACUAGUCCCUUGCUUUCCAUGGUGCAGGUCUCUCCAGGAAUUUUCGCGAGAGGAACAAGAAAAUGACAAGUGCUGCGUAGUCUUCAAUUAUUACGUGCAAAAGCAAAGCUGUACUUUUACAAUUAUGAAAUGAGAACUUUUGGACUAUUAAGGCACUGUAAUAUAUGGUCGACUGUAUUCUGCUCCAGGUGUGCUACAUGAUAACGAAACAACUUAGCACUUCAGAUAGGACAAGUGAGAGUUUAUAAUCAUCUUUGCUAAGUUAUCAGCAUAAAACCAACUUAUGAUAUUCUUAACUUAUCUCUCCAAAUCCAAGCAAUUGCUUCCUUAUAUUUGGUCAAAAAAAAACUCCUAGAUUCUAGUCUUGUUCAGAAAGCUUAAUACUCAAAAAUGGGAACACCUGUCUUCUACUACAUAGCAUUCCGGAUUAGGCUAAUGCUUCGUAAAAUCAUCAUUUCAAGAUUCCGCAUUGGUCAAUUCUAGCUUUUCACGAACCUGUUUGGGUGCUUGCUAAAAAUCUAGGACCAAAAUGGGAACUGCAAUAAGACUUCAAAGCAUCUUUUUCCCACUUUUCACGUAGACCUUCUUCAUCUGUUAAUACCGUAGGGAUUUGCUAAAUAUCUAAUCUAGCAAAAGUUAAGCAGGUAAUCUGUGAGAGGAAACAGCAAUUGACACAGAAAAGAAUGCAAAAUACACAAACUUCUGAGUCCUGGUUCAAGCCAAAAAAAGAAAGAAAGAAGAAAGAAAAGGCUUGCUACAGAAAAAAGAAAAGUAAUAGCACUAAUGUUAAAUAAGUACUAAAUCAAUCUGAGAAAGCAAAAGUUGCAACUUUUGAAUGCUAUGAUCCUGGAAAAUUUCCCAAAAGCUAUCUUGAUGUAUCAGAAAUCUUCUCCAUACCAAGAGCUCUAGAGAUUCCGUGGAUCACAACUUCUCUGGAUGAGAAAAUCUCUGCUUCUGUGAUCUCUACCCCAUCAAUUGCCAGUGAUCUUGCAGAAUUGUUCAUAGUAACUUCAAGACUUUCAUCAGAUAACAGAGUUUUGAGAGUCGAUUUUUCAGGCAAUAAGGCCUAUUCUUUUUACGUAAACCUCUGCGGCAAUACAUGUAAGCUCACAACUCUAUCUAGCAGUAGUGCUGAGAGUGCUAUGAACGUGAAAUAUGGUGGAGCUAAGAUGGUGACGGAGCUCAAAUCAGCAUACUCUUGAACAACCCAUCAACAACAGACCGCAAUCCUUUCGCAAAUUGGACAAAUCCGUUAGCACUGAGAAACUGAAUUAUACUUGGCCAUCGAACAAAGUCCUUUAUCUCAUUAGUACCGUUCAAACGAUGACUCUGAUCAAAAUUUCCACAAGUGGGGGAGUGAAUAAAGUUCCAAUCUUGAUCAAUAUGCUCACGAAGGUCUAAUGAUGAGAAUGAUCCGAGAACACAUGCACUGAAAAGGGGCCUCCAAGAAACACAUCAGGAUGAGAAAUCAUCACAUCAUUGACCUCAAUUUCAUGCUUUUCUUCAUCCUUCUUUGUAAUCUUGAUGAUCUUAUCGUGAAGUAGAGUACUGAAGCAACUGUCUUCGGGUUUCUUGAAUAAUUCUUGUAUGGGAAGCUUUACAGGGGAAGAGUGGCACUGGAGGAGUUGCUUCAUUGCCCAAGGAGGUAGAUGGCCUGAAAUAUUGGAAAUGGAGGAAUCUUGGAUUGCAAAAAUGGUGAAUUCAGGGAAAACAAAGAGCUCAGUGGAGAUUUGGAGAAGGGUGGCCAUGACAUUGAAACAAUGAGCUCUUGAAGCUUUGGAAGCAUUCAAUGAGAGGCCUCUUUUGGAGGCUUGGAUCAACGGAGAUGAAUUGUGUUGGUGUCUUCAUGCAGGUUUACCAUGAUUGCCACAAUUGCAAGAACCACAGACAUGCACAAGGGGAAGGGACAAUGCCACCAAUGUUAGCAAGAAGAAUUUCUCAUUUCCUGAGACAAAUGAAGAGAAUACUAGUGGAAAAUUCUUGCUUUUCAAUGUGCUUUUAUCUGGGAUUUUAGCAGCAGAAUGAAUGUAGCAAUUUUCAGAAGAAUCUUGCAGUUCACUGUUGGUUGUGUGUGUCCUGCUGUAUUGUUAAUUGUCCCCGGCGGGGAAGGAGUAGAAAUUAAUCACAAUUACAGGGUUAAAUAAAUCAAGAUGCCACCCUUCAUGGCCUUUUAAAUUGUAUUUGGCUUUCAAAUUGAAAUGCCCGUGAAUACUCGAGUGAUUAGUUUUUAAUCCGUAACUAGAUUUUAACUGAUGAGAUGUUUGUCUCUCUCUUUUUUUUUCCUUCCCUAAGAUCCAGAGUUUAACUGAUGAGAUAUUAGUCAGGUGACAAUGAUGUUCACUCUUGAACUCUCCAUUUCCCCUCCUCUAUGUAAGACUUGGAGCCUUCUCAUAGACCAAAAUAUAUUUCUGUUCCUUUCCAAAACGUGAAAUUCUAAAACCAAUGAAAUGGGCCAUCAUUUAGUUUAUUUCUGUCGCUGCUGAAGUUGGAUUGUCACUUAUUAUAGUAAUGAUUAAAACCACAUCAUCAUGGAAAGGAAAAAUCAUAAUUUGAAAGCACCAACUCCAACUUAGGCUUACAUGAUCAACAUGGAAGAGAAAAAAGUAACAAUUAGUAAAUCAGUAAAGUUCAGCAAAUACAAAUACACUUCAAAUCACUAACAAAUGCCACAACAUAUUGUCCAAGAACUGGGAUACAGAUCACUUCAAACUUUGAAAAUGCUUUCCCAAGAUCGGACCAUGUCAUCUAGCUGCUUUCAAUCUUCUUGACUGAAAAGUGAAAACAUCUUCCGAAGCAAAACUUUUUUUCUUUUAGUCCCUGCAUAGCUCCCACAGACUUAACAAGGAAAUGAAACCAGCAAGUUGCAUUGGCAGACCUCCAGGUGUCUGAUCUCAGGCAUUACUGAUUGCAAUUCUUCCCAUGACACCUCAAGUCUUUGGCAGAACUUUAAACACAACCCUUUGACAUCCCAUUUAUAUUCUUCAUCUCCCCAAAAUUCUUGGUUCAUCUUUUCUAUUCCUGAGUUCUCCACAGAAAGAUACUGCAGUUGUUGAAGUGACCUGGGAUUAAUCCAUGCUGGCGUAGUUUCUCCAAGAUAAUGCUUCAGAUACAGUUCCUCAAUGGAAGAAGGGG